This is a long non-coding RNA of Vespa velutina, 2721 nucleotides long. RefSeq lists it as uncharacterized. The transcript is spliced from 3 exons. Lineage: Eukaryota; Metazoa; Arthropoda; Insecta; Hymenoptera; Vespidae. The record is from RefSeq and is a predicted model, not a curated record.
UAUAUAAGUGUGUCUAUAUAUAUAUAUAUAUAUAUAUAUAUAUAUAUAUACAAUCUCUCUCAAUCUCAAUAGAUCGAAAAUAACUAUAUAUAUUGGGAUCGAUUUGAUGUAAAGAAUAUCGAAUCGUUAAUAAAUAUUUUUUGAGAAAGCCAUAGAUACGAAGCAAUAGUCAAAUUCACGAACCCAUUCGAAAUUUUGCGCAUACGAUGACUACGUUUGACGUGUCAUUUCCGAAGCGAGAGGGUGGAUAGGAUACGAAGGAAAUUCUCAUGGCGGAUUUCCAAUAUCGGAGUCCGGGUGGCAGCCCUAUUGCCGGCACAUCCUAUCGGCCAUUACGAGACUCGCGGUAUUCGGUCCAUGGCUCGAUAUUACGCCUUGUACCGCGUUAGCAUAAACAAACAUCGGAUCAGAGGAAGGUAGCAACGCGUAUAUGAACCUGCUCCUGUGUCUAUCUACGUUCAGUAAACUUUACGAGAUGAGAGACAAUCUUCCAUUUUGAUAAUUAAAGAGACAAUACCCCAGACCGAUUCAGUUUCGAAUAUCUUUUUGUUCAUACGUAAAAUUUACCCUAAGUUUUAUUAAAAUGGAAAUCUUUCCAAUUAUCACAAUCUGAUCUAAGAUCAUGAUGGAUAAAAGAUAUGAAAAAAAAAAAAAAAAAAAGAAAUAUUUAUAUAUACAUUUAUAUAAAGAGAAAAUAUUUUCACGUAUAAAUUUUAUGAAAUCUCUGUCGAUGUAAUCACGAAUAGAAUUCUCGAUGGUAUCAGUUUGUUACAAAGGUCAUUGAUCGGUAGAAUGGAAAUAAUUCAAUGAAGAAUUUCGAUAGGUCACGUAGAGAUGCGAAAGGUAUUAAAAAUAUAAAGUGACGGUAUUCGUAAGUAUAUAACCACCAUGGUUACAUAUCUAUAUGUAUAUAAUGGUAGGUUUUUAUAUGUUUAAUGUGAGCUUAAAUAUAUAUAUAUAUAUAUAUAUAUAUAUAUAUAUAUAUAUAUUAUUUAUGCAUAUAUAUACAUAUAUACACAUAUAUAUUUACAUACAUACAUAUUUAUAUGCAUAUAUAUAUAUAUAUAUACCACGUACAUAUCAUAGCUAUAUACGUACUACUGGUCGAAAUUAAACCGGAUUUCACGGGGGAUUAAAUGGUAUUUGACGAGCUAUACGAGGAUGUGCGACGGGGCUCCCUCUGUUUUGAAUUUGGGCGUGAACGUGACAGUUGGUUUAUACGAUUUUCGGAUUGAUGGGCUCACCGCGCGAAAUACCAGGAAAUUACGAAAAUAAUUAUUAUCCGCGAGGUGGUAUACUGGCGUAGUGGCGUAGAGCUCGCGAGGCUGUUCCGAUCGCGGAUAUUAACCGAGCGUAGAAUUAUUGGCUCGUACAUACUCGCGAUGCUUUUUCGAGUGGUCGCGAGGGGUGCGUCAAUGAGGAACGGGACGGAGGGGGAUAGGAAUUUGUGCUCAUACGUUUCCGCGAGUAACAUUUUUUCAAAUAAUACAAAGGCACAUACCGUUCAAUGAGAUAGAUAUUUGAAUGUACGAUGUCGCGCGAUUUGACCUUUUCACUAUCGUACGGAAGUCGAUGCGUUUUCUACGAGAGAUCAAAGUCUAUCUGACGAUGUGCUUAAUGGAUCUGAUAUGCUUAAUGGAUUUGUAGAAUCCUUGAAUAAUCCGAGAAAACAAUUUCUUAUAAAUUCUCAAACGUUUCUUUUUAAAGAUAUCGAUAUAUAGAUAUCGUACGAUAAGUCGUAAUAAUGAACAUUGUAGUGAUAGUUUAUAUGAUGAAAAUAAAAUAAUAAACGAGCAUUGUUCUUACGGUCUUUAUUAUUUGACGUGAGAACGUUUAAUCGCGUUUACAUUGAAUACUGAAGCUGAUCAAGGGAUUUCAUUAAUAGCCUCGCGGUCGUAUAGACCAACUGCCAUCCGCGUGCUCAUCGACGAAGAUUCACGGAUGUAUCGAAUAGAGAGGAGCGGCAUAUUGCGUCGGUGGUGAUGGCGAUGGCGAUGGCGACGGUGGUAUCGUCGGUGAAUCGUUCCCGAAGCGAUAUCCGCGUGGCCGAUUCCGGACGAUCUCGCCGCCGCCGCCAGCGUAAGCGAUGCAUCAGCCUCGGCUGACCAAUCCCAAUAAUUUACGAUUAUCGAUCGAGCGGCCGGUGUUCAAAUUUGCUAAUUACGCAAUAAUUAUACGGCCUACAUUAGAUGGCAGAGUCUAGCGUACAGAGCAAGCGGUAGUAGUGGUGAUGGUGGUGGUGCUGAUGGUGGUGGCGCCGUUGCAAGCAUCCGGGGAAACUAUCGACCGAGCUAAUGCGGAAUCAUCAACGCUCGAAGCGGGCCAAUAGCAAGGCGACCUAGGCGUGUCAAUAGUUCAUAGCCCCUUCCCGGCCUGAGAAUAAAUUGACCCGACUGUUCUCGACCUCCAGUCUUCGAACGAACGCAUCCAAUGUGACUAUAGUUUUCCGAGCAUCGAGUUCUGUUACGAAAAAGACAGAGAGAGAUAGAGCGAGCGAGCGAGCGAGCGAGCAAGAGAGGGAGAGAGAGUAUAUAAGGGGGUAGGAGGAGUAUCAUAGGAAGCGAGAGAGCGAAAGAGUGAGACGGAGAACUGGCAGUAAGUUCAAAGUUAACGGUACUGAUCGCUACCUCCCAUCUUGCUGGACGAUUGUCUUAGUAGAUUUUAGCACGUGGAAGUACAAGCGGUAUGCCACACGACGCAUAAACUACUUUCAAAAUGUAG